This 246-nucleotide ribosomal RNA is filed under the name uncultured bacterium. Its description in RNAcentral is "partial small subunit ribosomal RNA". It matches the Rfam family "Bacterial small subunit ribosomal RNA", at positions 26 to 285 of the family's 1533-position model. The record is from RNAcentral.
AGAAUCAACGCUGGCGGCGUGCCUAGCACAUGCAAGUCGCACGAGAAAGGGACUUCGGUCCUGAGUAAAGUGGCGCACGGGUGAGUAACACGUGAAUAAUCUACCUCCGAGUGGGGAAUAACUGAGAGAAAUCUUAAGCUAAUACCGCAUAACACUUACGAGUCAAAGCAGCAAUGCGCUUGGAGAGGAGUUCGCGGCAGAUUAGUUAGUUGGCGGGGUAAUGGCCCACCAAGACGAUGAUCUGUA